ACGGGUGAGUAAUGUCUGGGAAACUGCCUGAUGGAGGGGGAUAACUACUGGAAACGGUAGCUAAUACCGCAUAACGUCGCAAGACCAAAGAGGGGGACCUUCGGGCCUCUUGCCAUCGGAUGUGCCCAGAUGGGAUUAGCUAGCAGGUGGGGUAACGGCUCACCUAGGCGACGAUCCCUAGCUGGUCUGAGAGGAUGACCAGCCACACUGGAACUGAGACACGGUCCAGACUCCUACGGGAGGCAGCAGUGGGGAAUAUUGCACAAUGGGCGCAAGCCUGAUGCAGCCAUGCCGCGUGUAUGAAGAAGGCCUUCGGGUUGUAAAGUACUUUCAGCGGGGGAGGAAGGCGAUAAGGUUAAUAACCUUGUCGAUUGACGUUACCCGCAGAAGAAGCACCGGCUAACUCCGUGCCAGCAGCCGCGGUAAUACGGAGGGUGCAAGCGUUAAUCGGAAAUUACUGGGGCGUAAAAGCGCACGCAGGCGGGUCUGUCAAGUCCGGAUGUGAAAUCCCCGGGGCUCAACCUGGGGAACUGCAUUCGAAACUGGGCAAGGC
Molecule: ribosomal RNA, 553 nt
Filed under: uncultured bacterium
Lineage: Bacteria
Description: bacterial SSU rRNA
Rfam family: Bacterial small subunit ribosomal RNA
Source: RNAcentral